This is a non-coding RNA of Cyanistes caeruleus (blue tit), 703 nucleotides long. Lineage: Eukaryota; Metazoa; Chordata; Aves; Passeriformes; Paridae. The record is from RefSeq and is a predicted model, not a curated record.
UAUGUGUUGUCACCUGUUGCCUGGGAGAAGAGGCAAACACCCACCUGGCUACACUCUCCUUCCAGGUAGUUGUAGAGAGCAGUAAGAUCUCCCCUGAGCCCCUUUUCCUCCAGGCUAAACAACCACAGCUCCCUCAGGCACUCCUCACAGGACUCGUGCUCCAGACCCUUCCCCAGCUCUGUUGCCCUUCUCAUGACACACUGCAGCACCUCAAUGUCCUUCUUGAAAUGAGGGGCCCAAAACCAGACACAGGACUCAGUGUCAGGGUUGGCUACAAUAUGAGAUGAAGAAGGAGAAAGGUCACCCUCCUUCUCAGUCACUGUUGGAACUCCCCUCACUGUUAGGCUAGCAGGACAUGUAGGUCUGGAUGGAAGUCACUAGGGAGAAUUUUUAAUCUCGUGACUUUUAUUAGAACACAAGAGCAGAAGCAUAAACCGCAUUAUUGCUGAAGGAAGCUGGUCUGAGAAGCUGUAUUCCCACAUGCAUAUGAGUAUUCUGAAAUAUGUAACAGAAUAUAUGGAUUUGUGUCACCCAGUUGACAUUCUGAGCACAAAGAGAAGACUGCAUUAAAUGAGAGGAGAUCAAGAAAGAUCAGAAAGCCAGAGACAUCUGCUGAAGCUAAAGGCCAUCUCAACUUAGGAGGUUCUGCAGCUAUGAAUGUGGCGAGUUAUACACCAAGACAAAAACCAUGUCAUAGUCUACA